RNAcentral lists this long non-coding RNA (652 nucleotides) under Androctonus crassicauda. Lineage: Eukaryota; Metazoa; Arthropoda; Arachnida; Scorpiones; Buthidae. The record is from RNAcentral.
UUAACCUUGAAUGUUUUCAAGAAUUAUUCUAAUUUCUAUAACCAACCCCAAGCUUCAUAGCUAUGUAAAGACAGCAGAUCAAGAAAGUCAUGUCCCUAAAAGACUUAGUAAAUAAGUAACACUUUGCUUUCAGAAGACCUGGCAGGAACCUGGAAGGAUGGCAGGCAUGCUGGUUAACCCACAGCACCUACUGGACAGCGUCUGUCAAAGUAACUCUGCAUACAUUUUUUAAGGAAAAAUCCUGGGUAGUGUGAAAUAUUUUGCUAGUCCUAUAAAGAGGGGGAAACCCACCUGUUGGAGAAAGGGAACGUUAACAUCAUCUUUUUUUCUGUCACAGCAGAUGGUAAGGAGGACAGGUGUGUGUAAAUAUUCACAUCAGUAAGGUUACGGUGCGAAGGAGGGGACACACAUGCUGGUGACGUCUCGAAUGUGUGUAAUCCCCUUCUGAGGUGUCCAGCCAAGAGCAAGAAGUAGUGCUUGGGGGCUAACCCACAGAAAGGUCAGUUUACCACUACAGUAAGUGGGAAGAAGCUUCCUUUCAGAGUUCUAGGUCUCAUUUAGUUUAUAAAAGGGCACUUUGGGUACAGAUGGGUACAGAGGUCACAACACUAAAGAUUUUACUCCUGGUAAGAAUUUGAGAGAAGGAAUCUGG